AAAACGAUGAUUUAACCUUUUUAAUUUUAAUUUUCUAUAUAUGACAUUUUUUUUCACACUUUGCUUUUGAUGUAUUAACGAAAUCGUACACACAAUUCCGCCACAUGCACGAAUAUUAAUAAUAUUGGUGCAUGUUCGCGAAGCAUUGCAAGAUACGUAUGUAAUUUGUUUCAAAGUUAUCUGAAUCAAUAACUGAUACAUAGGAGGAAACGAGAAUGUAAACAAACACGAAAUCUCCAAGAAUGAGAUAAGUGAAGUGUUUACAUCUGAGGAGAACUGUGAAACAGUACCAUCAAUCUUCGGAACUAAUAUAUAUACAAAGAAAAUGCCAAUCGCAGAUAGUCCAGAGAAUAACCAAGAUGUACCAGACCUACCCAUCGCUACCGUUAAGUCACUGUAAAAUUUGGUUACAACGAAAGCCAAUAACCAAUUUAAAA
Non-coding RNA from Megalopta genalis, 437 nucleotides. Lineage: Eukaryota; Metazoa; Arthropoda; Insecta; Hymenoptera; Halictidae. The record is from RefSeq and is a predicted model, not a curated record.